RNAcentral lists this ribosomal RNA (1346 nucleotides) under Salmonella enterica subsp. enterica serovar Typhimurium. Its description in RNAcentral is "partial 23S ribosomal RNA". It matches the Rfam family "Bacterial large subunit ribosomal RNA", at positions 1478 to 2802 of the family's 2925-position model. Lineage: Bacteria; Pseudomonadati; Pseudomonadota; Gammaproteobacteria; Enterobacterales; Enterobacteriaceae. The record is from RNAcentral.
AAGGCUAUGUUGGCCGGGCGACGGUUGUCCCGGUUUAAGCGUGUAGGUGUGUGUUCCAGGUAAAUCCGGUUCACUUUAACACUGAGGCGUGAUGACGAGGCACUACGGUGCUGAAGCAACAAAUGCCCUGCUUCCAGGAAAAGCCUCUAAGCAUCAGGUAACAUCAAAUCGUACCCCAAACCGACACAGGUGGUCAGGUAGAGAAUACCAAGGCGCUUGAGAGAACUCGGGUGAAGGAACUAGGCAAAAUGGUGCCGUAACUUCGGGAGAAGGCACGCUGACACGUAGGUGAAGUGAUUUACUCACGGAGCUGAAGUCAGUCGAAGAUACCAGCUGGCUGCAACUGUUUAUUAAAAACACAGCACUGUGCAAACACGAAAGUGGACGUAUACGGUGUGACGCCUGCCCGGUGCCGGAAGGUUAAUUGAUGGGGUCAGCGCAAGCGAAGCUCCUGAUCGAAGCCCCGGUAAACGGCGGCCGUAACUAUAACGGUCCUAAGGUAGCGAAAUUCCUUGUCGGGUAAGUUCCGACCUGCACGAAUGGCGUAAUGAUGGCCAGGCUGUCUCCACCCGAGACUCAGUGAAAUUGAACUCGCUGUGAAGAUGCAGUGUACCCGCGGCAAGACGGAAAGACCCCGUGAACCUUUACUAUAGCUUGACACUGAACAUUGAGCCUUGAUGUGUAGGAUAGGUGGGAGGCUUUGAAGUGUGGACGCCAGUCUGCAUGGAGCCGACCUUGAAAUACCACCCUUUAAUGUUUGAUGUUCUAACGUGGACCCGUAAUCCGGGUUGCGGACAGUGUCUGGUGGGUAGUUUGACUGGGGCGGUCUCCUCCUAAAGAGUAACGGAGGAGCACGAAGGUUGGCUAAUCCUGGUCGGACAUCAGGAGGUUAGUGCAAUGGCAUAAGCCAGCUUGACUGCGAGCGUGACGGCGCGAGCAGGUGCGAAAGCAGGUCAUAGUGAUCCGGUGGUUCUGAAUGGAAGGGCCAUCGCUCAACGGAUAAAAGGUACUCCGGGGAUAACAGGCUGAUACCGCCCAAGAGUUCAUAUCGACGGCGGUGUUUGGCACCUCGAUGUCGGCUCAUCACAUCCUGGGGCUGAAGUAGGUCCCAAGGGUAUGGCUGUUCGCCAUUUAAAGUGGUACGCGAGCUGGGUUUAGAACGUCGUGAGACAGUUCGGUCCCUAUCUGCCGUGGGCGCUGGAGAACUGAGGGGGGCUGCUCCUAGUACGAGAGGACCGGAGUGGACGCAUCACUGGUGUUCGGGUUGUCAUGCCAAUGGCACUGCCCGGUAGCUAAAUGCGGAAGAGAUAAGUGCUGAAAGCAUCUAAGCACGAAACUUGCCCCGA